AUUGAACGCUGGCGGAAUGCUUUACACAUGCAAGUCGAACGGCAGCACGGGGCAACCUGGUGGCGAGUGGCGAACGGGUGAGUAAUACAUCGGAACGUGCCCAAUCGUGGGGGAUAACGUAGCGAAAGUUACGCUAAUACCGCAUACGAUCUACGGAUGAAAGCGGGGGAUCGCAAGACCUCGCGCGAGUGGAGCGGCCGAUGUCAGAUUAGGUAGUCGGUGGGGUAAAGGCUCACCAAGCCAACGAUCUGUAGCUGGUCUGAGAGGACGACCAGCCACACUGGAACUGAGACACGGUCCAGACUCCUACGGGAGGCAGCAGUGGGGAAUUUUGGACAAUGGGCGCAAGCCUGAUCCAGCCAUUCCGCGUGCAGGAUGAAGGCCUUCGGUUGUAAACUGCUUUGUACGGAACGAACGGACGAGCUCUAAUACAGUUUGCUAAUGACGGUACCGUAAGAAUAAGCACCGGCUAACUACGUGCCAGCAGCCGCGGU
Molecule: ribosomal RNA, 494 nt
Filed under: uncultured bacterium
Lineage: Bacteria
Description: bacterial SSU rRNA
Rfam family: Bacterial small subunit ribosomal RNA
Source: RNAcentral